Molecule: non-coding RNA, 401 nt
Organism: Chiloscyllium plagiosum (whitespotted bambooshark)
Lineage: Eukaryota; Metazoa; Chordata; Chondrichthyes; Orectolobiformes; Hemiscylliidae
Source: RefSeq, a predicted model, not a curated record
GUAUGCAUCUGUGCGUGUAUGUGUCUGUAUAUGUGUGUAUGUAUGUGUAUGUGAUUGUAUGUGUGUGGGUGUGCAUUCUAAAAGGCAAAGCAAGACUGAACUACUGAAAUCCUGCAAGUUCCCGAUGAAAUGGACAAGUACUAAAAGGCAAGAGAUGUCUGAGGAAGGGAAGUUGGCAAUCCAAUUCAUGGACUACGACAUGGCGGUCCUGGUGGACCCCACAGUAAUGGAGACGGAGGCCAUCCUCUUUCCAGUGGACUGGCAAAGAAGGCCACAGCCUUAGACACUGCCAGCCUGGGAUGAGAUAACCACCAGAGAUAGUGCAGUGAGUCUCCGAAGAGAAAAAAAUGCCUUGCAAUGGCUACCUUCCCCCCAGCCCCACCCCAUCCCCCUUUUUGUCU